This 87-nucleotide transfer RNA is filed under the name Candidatus Peregrinibacteria bacterium. RNAcentral describes it as "tRNA-Leu". It matches the Rfam family "tRNA". Rfam says of the family: Transfer RNA (tRNA) molecules are approximately 80 nucleotides in length. Their secondary structure includes four short double-helical elements and three loops (D, anti-codon, and T loops). The record is from RNAcentral. Lineage: Bacteria; Candidatus Peregrinibacteriota.
GCCGAGGUGGCGGAACUGGCAGACGCGCCGGCCCUAGGAGCCGGUGGGAGUAAUCCCAUGAGAGUUCGACCCUCUCCCUCGGCACCA